UACGUAGGUGGCGAGCGUUGUUCGGAUUUAUUGGGCGUAAAGGGUCCGCAGGAGGUUUGUUAAAAUUGGGGUGAAAUCCCGGAGCUCAACUCCGGAACUGCCUUGAUGACUGAUGAACUAGAGUGCUGGAGAGGUAAGCGGAAUUUCAGGUGUAGCGGUGGAAUGCGUAGAUAUCUGAAAGAACACCGAUGGCGAAGGCAGCUUACUGGACAGCAACUGACUCUCAGGGACGAAAGCGUGGGGAGCAAACAGG
This 253-nucleotide ribosomal RNA is filed under the name uncultured bacterium. RNAcentral's name for it is "partial 16S ribosomal RNA". It matches the Rfam family "Bacterial small subunit ribosomal RNA", at positions 524 to 776 of the family's 1533-position model. The record is from RNAcentral.